RNAcentral lists this transfer RNA (74 nucleotides) under Dermatophagoides pteronyssinus (European house dust mite). Its description in RNAcentral is "tRNA-Lys". It matches the Rfam family "tRNA". Rfam says of the family: Transfer RNA (tRNA) molecules are approximately 80 nucleotides in length. Their secondary structure includes four short double-helical elements and three loops (D, anti-codon, and T loops). Lineage: Eukaryota; Metazoa; Arthropoda; Arachnida; Sarcoptiformes; Pyroglyphidae. The record is from RNAcentral.
GCCGAUGUAUUUCAAUUGGUUAGAAUGUCCGGCUUUUAACCGGAAGGUUCUGGGUUCAAGUCCCAGCAUCGGCG